CUCAUAGCGUAUAUUUAAGUUGUUGCAGUUAAAAAGCUCGUAGUCGGAUUUUGGCUGAGAACGGUCGGUCCGCCGUUAGGUGUGCACUGACUGGUCUCAGCUUCCUGGUGAGGAGGUGUGCUUCAUCGCCACUUAGUCACCGUGGUUACUUUGAAAAAAUUAGAGUGUUCAAAGCGGGCUUACGCUUGAAUAUAUUAGCAUGGAAUAACACCAUAGGACUCCUGUCCUAUUUCGUUGGUCUCGGGACGGGAGUAAUGAUUAAGAGGAACAGUUGGGGGCAUUCGUAUUUCAUUGUCAGAGGUGAAAUUCUUGGAUUUAUGAAAGACGAACUUCUGCGAAAGCAUUUGCCAAGGAUGUUUUCAUUGAUCAAGAACGAAAGUUGGGGGCUCGAAGAUGAUUAGAUACCAUCCUAGUCUCAACCAUAAACGAUGCCGACUAGGGAUUGGCGGAUGUUAAUUGAUGACUUCGCCAGCACCUUAUGAGAAAUCAAAGUUUUUGGGUUCCGGGGGGAGUAUGGUCGCAAGGCUGAAACUUAAAGGAAUUGACGGAAGGGCACCACCAGGCGUGGAGCCUGCGGCUUAAUUUGACUCAACACGGGGAAACUUACCAGGUCCAGACAUAGUAAGGAUUGACAGAUUGAGAGCUCUUUCUUGAU
RNAcentral lists this ribosomal RNA (655 nucleotides) under uncultured eukaryote. RNAcentral's name for it is "SSU rRNA". It matches the Rfam family "Eukaryotic small subunit ribosomal RNA", at positions 591 to 1266 of the family's 1831-position model. The record is from RNAcentral.